This 985-nucleotide long non-coding RNA is filed under the name Olea europaea (common olive). RNAcentral describes it as "long non-coding RNA (OEUR_LNC013090)". The record is from RNAcentral. Lineage: Eukaryota; Viridiplantae; Streptophyta; Magnoliopsida; Lamiales; Oleaceae.
GGAAAAUCACUAGCAAACUGACUCUCAAAGCUGAGGCUUGGCACGUUAGAGAAGAUCUUCCAAAUCACUAGAUGCUGGCCGUAAAAGAAUAAUUUGGCAGAAAAUAUAUCGACGCUAAGAACCCACUGAAUUUUUUUAAUGCGGGAAGAAGGCUAGAAGCAAACUGUAGAAAUAUUUGUUAAAGUUUCUGCAAGAUAAUGUGAAUAUAGUCUGACCAUAUAUAUAUGUACAAGAUUCUGCUGGGCUAGGAAAACGAAAGAAAGAAAGAAAAUGAGAAAAAUGGAACAAUAACUUGAAGAAACUCAAUUAUAACUUAUAAGUUACAGGUUACCGAAAGCCGAUAUAAACAAGUUAACUCCGCAUUCUUUUCUUUUGAAUACCCUCUUCAGUUAAUUCCUGCAAAUAAAAAAAUGGAAAAAAAAGAAUUAUUUCUUAAGUCAGCAACAGAAAGCACGUAGUACUAAAUACAGCAAACAAGGCAAAUAAUUAAUACUUGAACAAGUUUCCAACUAAAAUGGGCAUUAUCCUUAAACUGAAAGCAUAAAUAUUACAAAACCUUACUAGAUGAGAACAUAAAAAUUAACUGGUAUAUAUUUAAUUUUCCAGUAAGAUUAAAAAAUGAUUAUUGGGUAUUAAUGAAAGAAAGUUUCCUUAAGCAGCUUUCACAUAGAUUCAUGUGCAUCUCAUGGUUUUCCUGGUGAACAGUGUUUCAAGAUACUACAACAGUGAGAGUUCAGUGCAUUCAAACUUGCAGUUUGAUGGUAACUACAAGUUCCAUAUAGAUACCAUGGAUCCAACGCAAAAUGCAAAGUAAACAUCAUGAUUUGAACUUGGAGAAAAUCAGCUUACAGAUAAAAUGAAGAAAAUAAAUAAAACUCUGUACACACAGAAAUAUCACAGGCUAAGAACGGGCUGAAUGUCAAUGAAUCUCCAAAAGAAUCUACAUGUGCCACCCAGCCAAAUAGGGGAAACAUUCUCUGAAAAA